CGGGGCGUGGCGCAGCCCGGCUAGCGCGCUUGCAUGGGGUGCAAGAGGUCGUGGGUUCGAAUCCCGCCGCCCCGA
Molecule: transfer RNA, 75 nt
Filed under: Anaerolineaceae bacterium
Lineage: Bacteria; Bacillati; Chloroflexota; Anaerolineae; Anaerolineales; Anaerolineaceae
Also listed under: 1 other name
Description: tRNA-Pro
Rfam family: tRNA
About the family: Transfer RNA (tRNA) molecules are approximately 80 nucleotides in length. Their secondary structure includes four short double-helical elements and three loops (D, anti-codon, and T loops). Further hydrogen bonds mediate the characteristic L-shaped molecular structure. tRNAs have two regions of fundamental functional importance: the anti-codon, which is responsible for specific mRNA codon recognition, and the 3' end, to which the tRNAs corresponding amino acid is attached (by aminoacyl-tRNA synthetases). tRNAs cope with the degeneracy of the genetic code in two manners: having more than one tRNA (with a specific anti-codon) for a particular amino acid; and 'wobble' base-pairing, i.e. permitting non-standard base-pairing at the 3rd anti-codon position.
Source: RNAcentral